This 200-nucleotide long non-coding RNA is filed under the name Elaeis guineensis (African oil palm). RNAcentral's name for it is "long non-coding RNA (EGUI_LNC066899)". The record is from RNAcentral. Lineage: Eukaryota; Viridiplantae; Streptophyta; Magnoliopsida; Arecales; Arecaceae.
GCAGAAAAUAAAUCAAGCAGUUAAUCUCUCCCAUUUAGUCAACCAAUCUAAAUUCUGGAUAUUUUGGUGUGAGGACCCCUAAAAGGCAAGCUACAGGACUCCAAAUUGAGCAAGAUUAGAUCCUACAGAAUUUUGAGAGAAGCAAGAAAGGAACAUAAUUUACAAAAUUAAAUUUGGAUUCCAGAUGAGGUGGCUACAGU